CUUGCUUUUUGAGCUAUAUUACAAACUUUAUAAUUAUGCUUAUUACUACUAUAAUACUACACGUGGGGUCACUUUUGUCUGAAUUCACUUACCUGUUUUUUAUUUUAUUUUUUAGGAUUAAGUUCGAAACAGUUUGUUUACUUAUUCGUAAUUUGUAUGAUUAUAGAAUAGCCAACUGUUUGACCCAUUUUACCUUAAGAGGUGUAGAAAUAGAUGAAUAAUACAUAUGCAUAAUAUUAAUUGCAAAUAGUAGAGAUAAAUAUUGCAAAACACUAGUGUCUUCUUGAUUCUAAAGUGGGCGAUUCUGGUUAUUGCUUUGUGAAAGAUUCCUUAAAAUUUUUACCAUUUCUAAACAACAUGAAAGUGAGGUUAGAUUGAGGGAGGAACAACAUGAAAGUGAGGUUAGAUUGAGGGAGGACGAGGUUUUAAUUUGGGAUCUAAGAUGAAAGUGAUUUCUUUUUGUUUACAGAUAGGUGAUAUAGGUGAUAUGGUUGUCAACCUACUUAUUUAGGAGUCAUCUUCAUCUCUAGAUAGUGAUAAGUGGUGGCGGUGGAGGUUUUUUAAGGAUGAAUUAUUUUUCAUACUCUAGGCUUAUUGCACCAUCAUGGAGAGGAAUCUCCCCACUAGUCUCUCUUUUCAUAAUGCAAAAAUGAGUUUUCUAUUUGGAAACUUCCGCAAG
Molecule: long non-coding RNA, 679 nt
Filed under: Lathyrus oleraceus (garden pea)
Lineage: Eukaryota; Viridiplantae; Streptophyta; Magnoliopsida; Fabales; Fabaceae
Description: Pisum sativum (pea) long non-coding RNA (PSAT_LNC005176)
Source: RNAcentral